GGAUAAGAGAGGUGAAUCUCUUGAACAAGGAAAUAAUGAGAGUGGUCCGCUACAUUCUCAAGCAAGACAUCCCGUCGUCUUUAGAAGAUGCUCUGAAGGUGGCCCAAGGGUACAGGCUGUCCGACGACGAAAUCUACAGUCUAAGGGUCAUUGAUCUGAUUGACCGAGAUCAGGUGUGGGGCUUUAGGUCGUGUCAUAGGCUGCUACGCUGACUCCACCUCGUGACACUAAACUGUCCAAGCUACCUUCACAAAACAAAGGAAACAACCACUGUCCUUGCUAGCUCAGCAGGGAACAUAAAGGAACUACUUUUGUGUACUUUUGAAA
RNAcentral lists this long non-coding RNA (327 nucleotides) under Rattus norvegicus (Norway rat). RNAcentral's name for it is "long non-coding RNA NONRATT007960". The record is from RNAcentral. Lineage: Eukaryota; Metazoa; Chordata; Mammalia; Rodentia; Muridae.